GACGAACGCUGGCGGCGUGCUUAACACAUGCAAGUCGAACGGUAAGGCUCCAGCUUGCUGGGGUACACGAGUGGCGAACGGGUGAGUAACACGUGGGUGACCUGCCCUGCACUUCGGGAUAAGCCUGGGAAACUGGGUCUAAUACCGGAUAGGACCAUGGUGUGGAUACUGUGGUGGAAAGUUUUUUCGGUGUGGGAUGGGCCCGCGGCCUAUCAGCUUGUUGGUGGGGUAAUGGCCUACGAAGGCGGCGACGGGUAGCCGGCCUGAGAGGGUGGACGGCCACAUUGGUACUGAGAGACGGCCCAGACGCCUACGGGAGACAGCAGUGGGGAAUAUUGCACAAUGGGCGCAAGCCUGAUGCGGCGACGCCGCGUGGGGGAUGCCGGCCUUCGGGUUGUAAACUGCUUUCACCAUCGACGAAGGUUUUCUGACGGUAGAUAGAGAAGAAGCACCGGCUAACUACGUG
This 466-nucleotide ribosomal RNA is filed under the name uncultured bacterium. RNAcentral describes it as "partial 16S ribosomal RNA". It matches the Rfam family "Bacterial small subunit ribosomal RNA", at positions 28 to 507 of the family's 1533-position model. The record is from RNAcentral.